Molecule: small nucleolar RNA, 89 nt
Organism: Sphaerodactylus townsendi
Lineage: Eukaryota; Metazoa; Chordata; Lepidosauria; Squamata; Sphaerodactylidae
Product: small nucleolar RNA SNORD60
Exons: 1
Source: RefSeq, a predicted model, not a curated record
AGCCAAUGAUGAGCUCUCUAACAUUUCUGACACCUCGUCUGAACGCUGCGCUUGCAGUUACUGAUUAUUCCUGACACGAGCUGAGGCGU